AUUAAACGCUGGCGGCAUGCCUUACACAUGCAAGUCGAACGGUAGCGCGGGGCAACCUGGCGACGAGUGGCGAACGGGCGAGUAAAGCAUCGGAACGUGCCCUGGAAUGGGGGAUAACGUAGCGAAAGUUACGCUAAUACCGCAUAUUCUGUGAGCAGGAAAGCAGGGGAUCGCAAGACCUUGCGUUCUGGGAGCGGCCGAUGUCGGAUUAGCUAGUUGGUGGGGUAAAAGCCUACCAAGGCGACGAUCCGUAGCGGGUCUGAGAGGAUGAUCCGCCACACUGGGACUGAGACACGGCCCAGACUCCUACGGGAGGCAGCAGUGGGGAAUUUUGGACAAUGGGCGGAAGCCUGAUCCAGCCAUGCCGCGUGAGUGAAGAAGGCCU
RNAcentral lists this ribosomal RNA (385 nucleotides) under uncultured bacterium. RNAcentral describes it as "bacterial SSU rRNA". It matches the Rfam family "Bacterial small subunit ribosomal RNA", at positions 29 to 417 of the family's 1533-position model. The record is from RNAcentral.